RNAcentral lists this long non-coding RNA (225 nucleotides) under Nicotiana benthamiana. RNAcentral's name for it is "long non-coding RNA (NBEN_LNC001088)". Lineage: Eukaryota; Viridiplantae; Streptophyta; Magnoliopsida; Solanales; Solanaceae. The record is from RNAcentral.
CUGAGCCUCGUAAAUACUGUGAAAUAGAAACAUCUAAAACUUAUUCUUCUUUGAAUUUGAACUACUUUUUGCUCCUAAGCAUGGAAUCAAGUUGUACGUCAGUGAGCAAAACAAGAAUUGUUGACACUUUAAAUAGUUCUCUUUGACACAGAGCAGAAAACCAAAAGCUGAGAGACAGUGAAUGAGGGUUGCAGAGAGUAGAGGGAAGCUCAAAGGGCAGCUGCU